CUCUGUGACUCCUACGGGAGGCAGCAGUGGGGAAUAUUGUCACUAAUGGGCGCCAAGCCUGAUGCAGCCAUGCCGCGUUGUGUGGAAGAAGGCCUUCGGGUUGUAAAGCACUUUCAGUUGUGAGGAAGGUGGUGUCGUUAAUAGCGGCAUCAUUUUGACGUUUAGCAACAGAAGAAGCACCGGCUAACUCCGUGCCAGCAGCCGCGGUAAUACGGAGGGUGCGAGCGUUAAUCGGAAUUACUGGGCGUAAAGCGCAUGCAGGUGGUUUGUUAAGUCAGAUGUGAAAGCCCGGGGCUCAACCUCGGAACUGCAUUUGAAACUGGCAGACUAGAGUACUGUAGAGGGGGUAGAAUUUCAGGUGUAGCGGUGAAAUGCGUAGAGAUCUGUAAGGAAUACCGGUGGCGAAGGCGGCCCCCUGGACAGAUACUGACACUCAGAUGCGAAAGCGUGGGGAGCAAACAGGAUUAGAUACCCUGGUAG
Molecule: ribosomal RNA, 480 nt
Filed under: uncultured bacterium
Lineage: Bacteria
Description: bacterial SSU rRNA
Rfam family: Bacterial small subunit ribosomal RNA
Source: RNAcentral